RNAcentral lists this ribosomal RNA (253 nucleotides) under uncultured bacterium. RNAcentral describes it as "partial 16S ribosomal RNA". It matches the Rfam family "Bacterial small subunit ribosomal RNA", at positions 524 to 776 of the family's 1533-position model. The record is from RNAcentral.
UACGUAGGUGGCGAGCGUUGUCCGGAUUCAUUGGGCGUAAAGCGCGCGCAGGUGGUGCGGUAAGUCUGUCGUGAAAUCUCCCGGCUCAACUGGGAGGGUGCGGUGGAGACUGCCGGACUGGAGGCACUCAGAGGCCGGUGGAAUUCCCGGUGUAGUGGUGAAAUGCGUAGAGAUCGGGAGGAACACCAGUGGCGAAGGCGGGUCUCUGGGCCGAUAUUGACGCUGAGGAGCGAAAGCGUGGGGAGCGAACAGG